UACGGGGGGUGCAAGCGUUAUCCGGAUUUACUGGGUGUAAAGCGCGUGCAGGCGGUGGUGUAAGUCGUGUGUGAAAGCGCCCAGGCUCAACCGGGCGAGGACGGACGAAACUGCAUCACUAGAGGCAGGUAGAGGCGUGCGGAAUUCCGGGUGUAGUGGUGAAAUGCGUAGAUAUCCGGAGGAACACCAGUGGCGAAGGCGGCGCGCUGGACCUGACCUGACGCUAAGAC
This 230-nucleotide ribosomal RNA is filed under the name uncultured microorganism. RNAcentral describes it as "partial 16S ribosomal RNA". It matches the Rfam family "Bacterial small subunit ribosomal RNA", at positions 524 to 752 of the family's 1533-position model. The record is from RNAcentral.